GGCAGGCAGACAAGCGGACGCGCACGGCAGAUGGGCGCGCGCGGCAUGGACGCGCGCGCAAGGCCAGUCGGACGCGCGCGCUACACUAGCGCGCGCGGGAAGCGGACACGGAGCGCGCGGAGAAGCAUCCGGGAACCUCUCGAAGGUUCCAGAAGAAUCGCGAGCGGCCGGGAAGGCUCGCGAACACGCGCGAAGGCGCGCGCGCGCCAGACGCACGCAGACGCGCGCGCGCGCGCGCGCGCGGAAGCCUCCAGAAGGCCUGCGCGCGCGCCAGACGGCCCCAGACGCUUCCAGAAGCUUCUGGACAGUGUCAUGAGCGCUCGGGAAUGUUCCAGAUUGCUUUUGCCGACCUUGUAAGGCGGUUUAGGGCUUGUAAAUAGAUUGUAUACUUCUAUAAAUACCCCAAAGGGGUCCAUUUGUACAAACAACACAGAAUCCUUGGGAAUUCAUCAACAAAGCUCUCUUAAGCAUUUUAUCAAACACCUUGUCUACAACUCUUUGCCUACUUCUUACCUACGAAUUUCCUUCUUCCUUAGUUUGUUCCAACAAGUCCAAUUACUCUUAGGCUUACAUUGGUGCAACCCCAACACCUUUGUGCCGCACGUUGGUUUGUGAUUAAAAUAACCACGUGACAGGUGGUAUCAGAGCGUGUUCGUUCAAAGGGACAUACUCUUGAUCGUUGCUAUCAAGUGCACGAUACCGAGAGACCAAGAUUCAAGACUCUAGUUCUUGAAACGUUGUCAAAGUAACGAAACACAGUUUCUACACCCACUUAAUCCCAGUUGACUUGUGAACAAGAUGUCCAGCGAAGAAGGCCACAUUUCAGCCCAAGCUGAGCAGGUUCUUGAAGGACCUAUCACACGAGGUAGGAAGGACCGACGAUCCCCGACCCGACGAUCGAAAUCUAAGGGUCCGGAUGCAAGGGAGCAUGUCGAAACUCGCCUUGCCAACCUUGAGCAAAGUCUCGAGGAUGUCCAGCACACGGUAGAAGAGUUGGGUGAUAACUACGAAGAGCUUAUUCAGGAGAAUGUGGAAAUCUCCGCAGCAACCAAGGAGCUCGUGGCCGACCUUGGAAAAACAUUCCAAAAGGAUUUGAAGGAGUUGUCAUCAACCGUAACCACUUUGAAGACAUUUGUUGAAGGUGAGUUACGCGAACUCUAUUCUAAGUAUAUUUCCCUAGAUGCAAAGGUAGAUACUCUUUGCAUGGAAUGUCGUUCCAAGCACUUUGGUGGAGACGGUCCAUCCACCAGUACACACGCCGCUGUGCAAGGCACUACUCACAUAAAAGUGCCGAAACCUGACACAUACAAUGGGGUGAGGAAUGCCACGGUUGUGGAAAACUUCCUCUUUGGCCUUGACCGAUACUAUGUAGCUGUCGGUGUUCGAGAUGAUGAGGCCAAGAUAAACAAUGCCCCGACAUUCCUAAGGGAUGCCGCACAACUUUGGUGGCGUCGAAGAUACGCUGACCAAAAUGGGAAUGCCAUCCAGACGUGGGAACAAUUCAAGGCCGAGCUAAGAAAGCACUUCGUUCCCCACAAUGCUGAAAUGGAGUCAAGAGCCAAACUUCGAAGGCUAAGACACACAGGUAACAUUCUCGACUAUGUGAAGGAAUUUACCACUAUUAUGCUUGAAAUUAGUGAUCUGCCCGAGAAGGAAGCCCUAUUCCAAUUUAGAGAUGGAUUGAAAGAUUGGGCCAAGGUUGAGCUAGACCGUCGCAAUGUCCAAACAUUGGACGAUGCUAUAGCCGCAGCUGAGAUGCUUAUCGAUUAUACAACCCAAUCAAAGGAGAGAAAACCUAGCCCAAGUAAACGUGAAGGCAAUCACUACAAGCAUAGAGACUCCGAGCAAAAGGAAAAGGGAAAGAAGGCAUUCCAAAGACAUGGCAAGUAUCACAAAACUCAACAAGGUGAGUCGUCCAAACCUUCUCCCUGUUUUGUUUGUAAUGGCCCUCAUCGGACAAGAGACUGUCCGAAUAGAAAAGCAAUGAAUGCACUUGUUGCCAAAUUGCUCGAGUCCAAGCAAGGAGAUGAUACACCACAGAUUGGUUCCUUGCAACACAUUGGAGCUCUGAAACAGGCCAAUCAAACAACUAAAGGAGGCCUACUCCAUGGAAAUGUAAAGAUAAACGGGAGAGAGGCUAUUGCCAUGUUUGACACCGGUGCGAGUCAUAACUUCAUGAACGUGAAUGAGGCUAAGAGAAUAGGCCUCAAGUUCACAAACGAAGAGGGGACUGUCAAGGCGGUAAACUCGGAAGCACAAGCCAUCAAAGGUGUAGCAAGAGGUGUAACAGUCAAGAUCGGUGAUUGGCAAGGUAAGCUCGACUUCACCGUGCUACCUAUGGAUGACUUUGACAUCGUGCUUGGCUUAGGGUUCUUCGAUAGAGUAAUUGCUAUCGUUGACUCCUCCGGAUGUACCCUGACGAUAGUGGAUGGUCAAAUAACGACCAUCCCACUAAAGAAGGGAAAACCAACAAUCAGAUUGUCAGCCAUGCUAAAUAAGGAGGGAGUCGCCGAAACCCAACAUCAAACAGUACCGUCGAGAGAGACAAAUUCUAAACCAACAGUCCCAACAGAACACAAGGACGUUAUGCUCGAGGCAAAGUCAGGAAACGCCGAUGCAGUCAAUAACGUCGUAAGCCAGAAGGCAAAACUGGCUGCUAUAACCACCAGCAUGUCCAGAAGUGACUUCCUUAACAGAAUCAAGGAACGGCACGAAGAAUGUGAUAUAUCAAGGGCAUGCCUGGCGAAGGCCGCCACUAAAAUGAAAAAGUGGGCGGACCGGAAAAGGAGGGCUAGAGAGUACCAAGUAGGGGAAAAAGUAAUGGUAAAGCUGCUACCAAACCAAUUUAAAUCCCUACGCAAGGUACAUAAAGGCCUAAUCCGAAGAUACGAAGGACCCUUCUCUAUCAUCGAGAAAGUGGGCAAAGCAGCUUAUCGAUUGGAACUUCCUCCCAGACUGAAGAUCCAUAAUGUCUUCCAUGUGAGCAUGUUGAAGCCUUUCUAUGAAGACAAGGAGGAUCCAAGCAGAGGUGAGUCCUCUCGUGCACCUACCGGCAUGAUCUCAGAGUUCGACAGGAAAAUCAAGGAGAUCUUAGCGGAGAGGAAGAUACGAAGGAGAGGAGUUCCCAGUUAUAACGAAUAUUUGAUUUGCUUUGGGAAGGACUACCCGAAAGCGAAGCAAGUUGGGAAAAGGAGGACACCCUAUGGCAAUUUCAAGAUGAAAUCAGGAAGAUUUCAAGAAAGCGCAACGGGGACGUUGCGAAAUCGAGUGGGGGAGGGUGUCACGCCCCAAAAAUGACCCAACAGAUUUUUCGCAAAUUAAGGCUCCUUAGCAUUGCCCAAGAGGAGCCAACCAAGUCCCAAGCAGUCCAAAGACCCAAGGAAGAGAAGCAAGUUCACGCCAAGCCUAUGACACGCCAAUGUGCAGGAGAUUGGCGCGCGCGACCCUGUCAUGACAUGGGCGCGCGCGCGCGCAAGGGCGGCAGGCAGACAAGCGGACGCGCACGGCAGAUGGGCGCGCGCGGCAUGGACGCGCGCGCAAGGCCAGUCGGACGCGCGCGCUACACUAGCGCGCGCGGGAAGCGGACACGCGCACGCGCGCGGAGAAGCAUCCGGGAACCUCUCGAAGGUUCCAGAAGAAUCGCGAGCGGCCGGGAAGGCUCGCGAACACGCGCGAAGGCGCGCGCGCGCGCCAGACGCACGCAGACGCGCGCGCGCGCGCGCGGAAGCCUCCAGAAGGCCCGCGCGCGCGCCAGACGGCCCCAGACGCUUCCAGAAGCUUCUGGACAGUGUCAUGAGCGCUCGGGAAUGUUCCAGAUUGCUUUUGCCGACCUUGUAAGGCGGUUUAGGGCUUGUAAAUAGAUUGUAUACUUCUAUAAAUACCCCAAAGGGGUCCAUUUGUA
Molecule: long non-coding RNA, 3901 nt
Filed under: Cucumis sativus (cucumber)
Lineage: Eukaryota; Viridiplantae; Streptophyta; Magnoliopsida; Cucurbitales; Cucurbitaceae
Description: long non-coding RNA (CSAT_LNC002368)
Source: RNAcentral